RNAcentral lists this long non-coding RNA (268 nucleotides) under Lathyrus oleraceus (garden pea). RNAcentral's name for it is "Pisum sativum (pea) long non-coding RNA (PSAT_LNC023896)". Lineage: Eukaryota; Viridiplantae; Streptophyta; Magnoliopsida; Fabales; Fabaceae. The record is from RNAcentral.
CAAUGCCAUGAAGAAUUCGUGUGCAUGUGAAGUUGGGUCCUCCAUGCAUGGGCAUGUACAUGCGCAUGAGAGGCCCAAAAGCUAUUGCAAUUGACUACUAAUCAUCAACCAAAUGGAAAUGGACAUGCAGAUUUCAUGAUAUCAGCUUGUGCAUGGAAUUUUGAUAUGUUAUGCAUAAUUGAACCUAAAACUUCUCCUCUUCGAAAAUGCCAUUUGCAAAAUUGAAACAUAGGCAUGUGGGUAAUGAUUGGAAAGGUGUUGACAUAAG